ACGGGAGGCAGCAGUGGGGAAUAUUGCACAAUGGGGAAACCCUGAUGCAGCAACGCCACGUGUGGGAGGAAGCAUUUCGGUGUGUAAACCGCUGUCGUGAAGGAAUAAUGCCUGGUCUCGGCAAGGUUGAAUGUACUUUGAAAGGAAGCACCGGCAAACUUCGUGCCAGCAGCCGAGGUAAUACGAGGGGUGCAAGCGUUGUUCGGAAUCACUGGGCGUAAAGGGAACGCAGGCGGAGAUGCAAGCAGUCUGUACAAUACCGGUGCCCAACCCCGGACCUGCAGACUGGACUGUUUCUCUUGGAUAGCUCAGGGGCUGGCGGAAUUCCUGGUGUAGCGGUGGAAUGCGUAGAGAUCAGGAAGAACACCGAUGGCGAAGGCAGCCAGCUGGGGGCUUAUCGACGCUCAUGCUCGAAAGUGCGGGUAGCAAACAGGAUUAGAUACCCUGGUA
Molecule: ribosomal RNA, 450 nt
Filed under: uncultured Fibrobacter sp.
Lineage: Bacteria; Pseudomonadati; Fibrobacterota; Fibrobacteria; Fibrobacterales; Fibrobacteraceae
Description: partial 16S ribosomal RNA
Rfam family: Bacterial small subunit ribosomal RNA
Source: RNAcentral